This 203-nucleotide long non-coding RNA is filed under the name Malus domestica (apple). RNAcentral's name for it is "long non-coding RNA (MDOM_LNC020311)". Lineage: Eukaryota; Viridiplantae; Streptophyta; Magnoliopsida; Rosales; Rosaceae. The record is from RNAcentral.
GAUGUGAAAAUUAACUUGACACACAAAUUAAACCCUAUGGAUGACUGAUGUGAAAAUUAUGUUGACACUCAAAUUAACCCUCUUUUUAUCAAUUGUAGCAAGUAUGUAAGUAGGGAUCGUUCUAGGCCGGGGAUUAAGAGGGAUUGCAAAAUCACUUGGACUUGACUCAAAAACGUAAAAACAAGUUUAAAACACUAACUAGA